This 162-nucleotide ribosomal RNA is filed under the name uncultured bacterium. RNAcentral's name for it is "partial 16S ribosomal RNA". The record is from RNAcentral.
GCACAGAGUUAGCCGUGCGUUUCCUCAACCGGUACCGAUCAGUCCCCGACGUGUUAGGUCGAAGCUUUACGUCCCGAUCAACAGGAGUUUACAAUCCGAAGACCUUCAUCCUCCACGCGGCGUUGCGUCGUCAGGCUUGCGCCCAUUGCGAACAAUUCCCCA